Molecule: long non-coding RNA, 1659 nt
Filed under: Pelobates cultripes (western spadefoot toad)
Lineage: Eukaryota; Metazoa; Chordata; Amphibia; Anura; Pelobatidae
Source: RNAcentral
GGAGGAGUUAUGGAGAGAGGUUAUAUGGAGUUAUAUGGAGAGGGUAUAUAGAGUAAUAGCAGGAGUAAUAGGGAGAGGUUAUAUGGAGUAAUAGGAGGGGUUAUAUGGAGUAAUAUGAGGAGUUAUAGGGAGAGGGUAUAUAGAGUAAUAGCAGGAGUAAUAGGGAGAGGUUAUAUGGAGUAAUAGGAGGGGUUAUAUGUAGUGAUAGGAGUUAUUUGGAGAAAUUAUAUGGAGUAAUAGGAGGAGUUAUAUGGAGAGUUUAUAUGGAGUGAUGGUGGAGUUACAGAGAGAGGUUAUAUGGAGUAAUAGGAGGAAUUAUAGAGAGAGGUUAUAGCGCAUAAUCUGAGGAGAUAUAGGGAGAUGUUAUAUGGAGUAAUAGGAGGAGUUAUAGAGAGAGGUUCUAUGGAGUAAUAGGAGGAGUUAUAGAGAGAAGUUAUAUGGAGUAAUAGGAGGAGUUAUAGAGAGAGGUUAUAGCGAGUAAUUGGAGGAGGUAUAGGGAGAGAUUAUAUGGAGUAAUAGAAGGAGUUAUAGGGAGAGGUUAUAUGGAGUAAUAGGAAGAGUUAUAUGGAGAGGGUAUAUAGAGUAAUAACAGGAGUAAUAGGGAGAGGUUAUAUAGAGUAAUAGGAGGGUUUAUAUGGAGUAAUAUGAGGAGUUAUAGAGAGAGGUUAUAUGAAGUGAUAGGAGGAGUUAUUUGGAGAAAUAUGGAGUAAUAGGAGGAGUUAUAUGGAGAGUUUAUAUGGAGUGAUGGUGGAGUUACAGAGAGAGGUCAUUUGGAGUAAUAGGAGGAGUUAUAGAGAAAGGUUAUAGCAAGUAAUCGGAGGAGUUAUAGAGAGAGGUUAUAGCGAGUAAUCGGAGGAGAUAUAGGGAGAUGUUAUAUGGAGUAAUAGGAGGAGUUAUAGAGAGAGGUUAUAUGGAGUAAUAGGAUGAGUUAUAGAGAGAGGUUAUAUGGAGUAAUAGGAGGAGUUAUGGAGAUAGGUUAUAUGGAGUUAUAGGGAGAGAUUAUAAGGAGUAAUAGGAGGAGUUAUAGGGAGAGGCUAUAUGCAGUAAUAGGAGGAGUUAUAGGGAGAGGUUAUAUGGAGUUAUAGGGAGAGGGUAUAUAGAGUAAUAGGAGGAGUAAUAGAGAAAGGUUAUAUGGAGUAAUAGGAGGGGUUAUAUGGAGUUAAAUGAGGAGUUAUAGGGAGAGGUUAUAUGUAGUGAUAGGAGGAGUUAUUUGGAGAAAUUAUAUGGAGUAAUAGGAGGAGUUAUAUUGAGAGUUUAUAUGGAGUAAUAGGAGGAGUUAUAGAGAGGUUAUAUGGAGUAAUAGGAGGAGUUAUAGAGAGAGGUUAUAUGGAGUAAUAGGAGGAGUUAUGGAGAGAGGUUAUAUGGAGUUAUAGGGAGAGAUUAUAUGGAGUAAUAGGAGGACUUAUAGGGAAAGGAUAUAUGGAGUAAUAGGAGGAGGUAUAGGGAAAGGUUAUAUGGAGUAAUAGGAGGAGUUAUAGGGAGAGGUUAUAUGGAGUAAUAGGAGUGUCGGCUGUGGUCUGGUUGGUGCAUGGGAUGAGCACUAAAUCCCGUACCUGCACCUUUGCAUAUGAUGUUGGAGUUUCUCACAUGCAUGUUUGAGUCAGGGAAGGCAUAUCGCACCAUCAAUUUGUUCCGUUCAGCUAUUUCGGCGGGACAUCG